Molecule: long non-coding RNA, 2629 nt
Organism: Amphiprion ocellaris (clown anemonefish)
Lineage: Eukaryota; Metazoa; Chordata; Actinopteri; Pomacentridae
Source: Ensembl
UUUCUCACUAUUUUCUGAUAUUUUAUAAAUUAUCAGUUAAACAGAAUUUAAACUCUUACAUUACAACUACAGACCUCCAUCUAUUACCUACACCACUUACUCCUCAUUAGGGUCAUAGGGGACUGGAGUCUAUCCCAGCUGACUUAGGGUGAAGACAGGGGACACCCUGAACAGGUCGCUAGUCUAUCACAGGGCUAAACAUAGAGACAAACAAUCACAUUCACACCUACAGACAAUUUAGAGUCACCAAUUAACCUCAGCAUGUUUUUGGACUUUAGGAGAAAGAUAGAGAACCCAGAGAAAACCCACCUUUGUGCUACCUGUUCUGUGACUAUUAUGCAUCACACAUCUCGAUGCUGAUGCCUAAUUGCUAACUACUGUGCAGCGCUAGUUUGUAUUUAGUAUAUUUCAAAAGUGAUUCCAUUUUGAUAUCAAACAUAGAUCUUUAUCACCACUACUCUUUCAGAUUUUUGCAUAUAUGUAAAAACAAAAAAAAUACAAACCAGAUAAAACAUACAAAUGUACAAAGAAAAACAAAAAAAGGCAAAUUAAUUGAAUUUAAAUAAAAUACAAAUGCCAAUACUAAAAAUACACAAUGUACAACCCCUGGCAAAAAUUUUGGAAUCACCAGUCUUGGAGGAUGUUCAUUCAAUUGUUUAAUUUUGUAGAAAAAAAGCAGAUCACAGACCUGCCACAAAACUGAAGUCAUUUAAAAUGGAACAUUAAACAACUGAAAGAACAUCCUCCAAGACUGGUGACUCCAUAAUUUUUGCCAGGGGUUGUACAUAUAAGUCAAUUAUUAAAAGCUGCAGGUAAAUAAUUGAGGAAUUCUCAAUCUAGCAUGUCAUGUCAAUGUAAUUUGUAAAGUUGAUAUUAAUUAUAUGCAUUGUCCGAUAUCCUUAUUCAUGUUAUAUCACCAAACACCCCAAGACAGUAGCCAACAUUUUUGACCUAACAUCCAUUACUCACUUUUUACUUUUGUAUUAAAAUAAGGCAAAAUGUCACAACAUAGGAUCAGCUGCAGUUAGAUAUAGAAAUCCUAAACAAACCUGUGGAUCCAGACUAUAAGCUGCAUUGCUGCCACAAUCUAAUCACUUGGUCCUUGUGUCAUGUCUGAUCUUCCCUGAAAAUUUCAUCCAAAUUCAUUAGUCCAUUAUUGAGUAAUGUUGCGAAUGGACAGACAAACUGAUGGUGAUCGUCACAUAACUCCACCGCCUUCCUUGGCAGAGCAACUAGAAAAGCACUCAGAAAAUGCAGUACUCUGUGUGUGUGUUAGCUCCUGCACUAUGACUGAGGAAUCUGGGAAAAACUUUUUGCACUGUCAACUUUGAGCACCAGCAGUAUGUUUUUGUUAAAUGUUUUUGUUCAACAAGAAACAGCACCAAGAAAUUAAUCAUGAAAAAGUUUGAUGGCAGAACCAUACCCCAUGAAGCCUCUUCUUGUUUCAACAGGAAACGAUAGGAACAAGAAAAGCAGAUGACAGAAAUGGAAAGACGGUGGAAUAAUACACUAAGCAGAUUCUUUGCAAGAGAAACCACCUGUGUUGUUCAAACCUGUGCAUCUCACUCCAUUUCUCUCCUACACAGAGGCAGAUUUGUUUGAGAGGAAAGAAUAAGGAGGGAAUAGGUUGUCCUUCAGUACAUUAAACAGAAACUAAAGUACAGAUAGAUGGAAAAAAAAUGUCCAUGCAGAUAUUUUAUUAAUACAUCCACCCAUCAUCUAUACAACACUUAAUCCUUAUUAGGGUCGUCCAGGGGCUGGAGUCUAUCCCAGCUGAUGUCAUUGUGGUGAUCUGGGAGGAUCCAGACUGAUGGUGGAGAACAGGUGAAGAAUCCAGGUGAUCACACAUCACGCUCAUAUCCACUUGGAGAGAGACAGAAGAAAGGAGGGGGAAGGGAGAAAACCUGCCACAACCUGGUCAGAGUUGGACAGCGUAACAAUCUUGGCUCAGCAGAUCAAGUAUGUGUGUACAGUCAGUGAGGAGUUUAUUAAGAGCAGCCUACUAGUCCUUGGUCAGGCUUUCCUUGUCUGUUAAACAGCCUCAUUUCUUUUUUAUCAUGGACUUGUCUCUGCAGGAUCUUCUGAUGCACAUGAUUGGCUGAUUCAACAUUUGCCUAAAUAAGCAGAUUGCAGGUGUUUUGAUUAAAACUAAUGGUUCUGAUUAAGCCUGAAGAAAAAAAAAACAUGAGUCAUUAGCAACAUUUUAACAUUUAAUAAUACCCCUUGAUAAACGGAAAAAUCCAAAAUUUGCUGAUUUCAACACUUCUAAAAAUAAGCAAUCACAGAAAGAGGAUGUGAGAAAGUCUUGGCCAAUACUCAAAUGAAAGGAUUAAUAAAAAUGAAGAAUUUAAGAACUUUUAGUCCUAUGGAUAGCUUUCAACUUGUGAACUCUGGAACCUUUAACAUAACAGUUAGCGGUAGGGGGCCAAAUACUGUAUUUAAAAAUAUGUCUUUUAGCGCUGUUGUCAGGGGAGAAAAAAGUAUCCAGUCAAAGGCAGAUACUUCUGAGGGGUCCAGAAAUGCUGCUGUCUUGAUGAUGACUAGUUAACCUCAGAGAGGACGAGUGCCAUUUCUCUGCUCUCUGAAUGUCCUCAUUAUGUAACAGUCUUCUACUCUCAAACAUCACCAU